CCGGAGAAUGUUAUCACGGGAGACACACGGCGGGUGCUAACGUCCGUCGUGAAGAGGGAAACAACCCAGACCGCCAGCUAAGGUCCCAAAGUCAUGGUUAAGUGGGAAACGAUGUGGGAAGGCCCAGACAGCCAGGAUGUUGGCUUAGAAGCAGCCAUCAUUUAAAGAAAGCGUAAUAGCUCACUGGUCGAGUCGGCCUGCGCGGAAGAUGUAACGGGGCUAAACCAUGCACCGAAGCUGCGGCAGCGAACGUAUCACUUAAAGCGAUUCAGCGGGUUACGAUUGACGGAGCGAAGCGACGUCAAAGCGUAUACAAAGUCGAGUCGGUUUAAGGAUACGUUCGUUGGGUAGGGGAGCGUUCUGUAAGCCUGUGAAGGUGUGUCGUGAGGCAUGCUGGAGGUAUCAGAAGUGCGAAUGCUGACAUAAGUAACGAUAAAGCGGGUGAAAAGCCCGCUCGCCGGAAGACCAAGGGUUCCUGUCCAACGUUAAUCGGGGCAGGGUGAGUCGACCCCUAAGGCGAGGCCGAAAGGCGUAGUCGAUGGGAAACGGGUUAAUAUUCCCGUACUUGGUGUUACUGCGAAGGGGGGACGGAGAAGGCUAUGUUGGCCGGGCG
RNAcentral lists this ribosomal RNA (613 nucleotides) under Salmonella enterica subsp. enterica serovar Infantis. Its description in RNAcentral is "partial 23S ribosomal RNA". It matches the Rfam family "Bacterial large subunit ribosomal RNA", at positions 962 to 1497 of the family's 2925-position model. Lineage: Bacteria; Pseudomonadati; Pseudomonadota; Gammaproteobacteria; Enterobacterales; Enterobacteriaceae. The record is from RNAcentral.